GGAGGAGGAGGAACCGAGAGUGCCCGACCCGGUGGCUUUUAGGGGGGGGAGGCCACUCGCUGCUUAGCGCUCCUCCACCCGCCGCCGCUCCGCCGGGCUGGCCACUGCCCGGCCGCUGCCCCUCCCGUCCCCGGCACCUACCUCGAGCUCCCCCGCGGGCUGCGGGGCUCAGCAACUCGGAGCAGGAGGCAGCUGGGCGGGCAGAAGCACCGGGGAGUCGCGCCGUGACCGGGUGGCGGGGGGAGACGGGAGGCAGAGAGGAGGAAAAAAAAGGCAAGAGAACAGCGAGGGCUGACUCUGGGAGCGGGUCUCGGCGCCCAGGACCCGCACGCCCCGGCGGCCACGCGUGGGUGCAGAGCUCAGGGCCGCGCGGAAGAUGCACACGACGCAGAAGGACACCACCUACACCAAGAUCUUCGUCGGGGGCUUGCCCUACCACACCACCGACUCCAGCCUGCGCAAGUACUUCGAAGUCUUCGGGGACAUCGAGGAGGCGGUGGUGAUCACCGACCGGCAGACGGGCAAAUCCCGGGGAUACGGCUUUGUCACCAUGGCCGACAGAGCCGCUGCCGAAAGAGCGUGUAAGGACCCCAACCCCAUCAUCGAUGGUAGGAAGGCCAACGUCAACCUGGCGUACCUGGGUGCCAAGCCGAGGAUCAUGCAGCCAGGUUUUGCCUUUGGUGUUCAACAGCUUCAUCCAGCUCUCAUACAGAGGCCUUUUGGCCGAGUCAAGUUGUGUGGGACGCGUCCCCUCCACCUAAGCAGCCCGGUCCCGUAUGACCCUAUGAUAAAACAAGGAGGGAUCGUUUACAGUUAAGAUAACUGAUCAGAAGGAUAUGAUGAUAAGAGGUGGAAUAGUUCUGUUUGGAAUUAAACUCUGUAACCAGUAGACUCAAACACAAACAAGCUAAAAUGGCAUAUAAUUAGGAGGUGAGAUCUACUUGAAACUUCCGAUACAGCGUCACUUCACUAACACACACUGGCUGAGAAACUCAUUGCAAAAUAAUGCAUUUUGCUAAUUAAUGAAAAAGCUAACAAUAAAGUAGGGAACAUGUAUCACGACUGUAUUUUGUUCCUUUGACUGGAAUAGCUUCAGUCUAGUGUACCCAGCUGCUACAGUUUGCUUCAUCAAACCUGUAGGUAACUGUUCCCGUCCUCAGAACUAAGUUUACCUAGAAGCUUUAUGCACUUUUAUAGGAGAGUGUUUGCUCUCCUGACACAUUUGGAGAGGUUGUGGAAAACUCUGUCUUUUUUUCCUUCUUCCUCUGCUGUAGUUUGUUUGACUUCUUGGAGGUGUGAGGAGACAGCGGUGUGUGUGCAGUGCUCAGUGCGUGACGCCAGCACUGAGGAGGGCAGGAGGUAGAAUGCGUGGUCUGCAGAGCUGUUACAGCCCUGCUGCAAAGAGGAACCAGUGAACUGCCCAGGGACCGGCCAUGGAGAGAGUAUUUGCUGAGCAUAACAGAAAAGGAGAACCUGUGCAAUCUGUUGCUUAAAGGACUAUGCAAGUGUAGGGCUCCUUCUUGCUUUCCCUAUCCCGAGCCAACAAUAGAUCAUUUAAGUCUUGCUUAGGUCAGGGGAAUUCUUCCAGCGGGCUGAAUAAGGUUUUAUUUCUAAUGCAAAGUAUAUAAAUCUGAGGAGAGGAAUGUUGGUACCAGGGCCAUGAAUAUAUCAAAUUAGUCAUUUUUAAUCCUUGCUUUUUGCCUUUCUUUUGCUAUAUACAGACAAAGGAGAUUACUAAAUCUGUUUCCCCCUGAAAAUUUCCAACAAUCUGUGUAUUUUCUAAGGGAUGUAGUUCAGAUUAGGAAGGACAGCAUUCAUUAGGGUAAAUGAAAACCUUCAUUCCCUGUUUCCUUGUCAUUUCCUUGACAGUUCUGCUGGGCUGUUUCAGUGCUUACUUGAAUCUACAUUUAUUAAGAGCUCACUCAGAUGAUGCUGCAUGGAUUGCACUGGAAUAUUUGGUCACUUUAAAACCUCUCUUCCCCCCCAUGCAGUUGCACUUUAAAAAAACUAUAUUUUACUAAUAUUCUCUGUUAAAUGGAUUGUAGUGAUGAUUCACUACCCACCCUCUGCUAAUCCUUACACAGAAACUGCAAGUUUUAUUUCAUUUUGCUGUUUCCCUAUCAAUCAGGGCACAGAUUAGUAAUGUGCUGCUAUACUCUGGAAUGGUCAGCAGUGUUUUGUCAUGGUUGCCCACCUAACAAGCAAGAGUCUGAAAGUAAUUGGAGUAUGUCAAAUUACUUCACUGAAAAGAUGCAGAAAUACAGUAUUCUAAAUUAAAUACAACAUUUAUUGAAGUGGAGGGAGCUAGCAACUAGGUUAGCUUCAAUGCAUGAAAGAAGCUGUUUGGUCACCAGGACUGGUUAUCUACAGCUCUGUUUUCAGAGUUGUUUAUUGAAAUACUGCCUCUGAAUUCAAUAGGAAUUUAAGGAGAGGGAAAAAUAACUUUGCCUCCUAAAAUGGGUUUUCUCACUUUGCUUACACAAUUUUUGUUUCAAUAUUGGUAGAAAAUUAUGGGGUUAUGCAGAGGGACUGGUGUAGGAUAAUACAUUACUCAAAGUUUAUCCCUUUAUUGUUUCCUAGAACUUGUAGUACCUCAAUCACAAUGAGGACAUUCCUAUUCCCACUCUUUUUAGUAAGACCAGAGUUAAAUCCCAAGUUGAUAAGCUGAUACUGCCUGCUUGUUACUGUCUUCUGUAGUUCCAUCUAUUGUUAGGCACUUCUGCCUUCCUUAAGAGAGGAGAAGCCCUCUCUUAGUUUGUGAUCAGGAGACCUGUGUAGCAUUAGACUACUCCUAACCUAGGGAACCUAGGGAACGAAGCCAGAGCAGUCAGAAGUGAAUCCACAUAAUGCUAAAUGUCCUCUUGCUGUUAUCAGGCAAGUUCAAAAUUCAAAAGGGAGCACCUUAAGGGUAAGCCUUGAUGCUUCUGUGACCUAUUUUUAUUAUCAGGAAAGCUGUUCAUUGACUAAAUUCUACUUGGUAGUUAUGCUCACAAAACCUGACCCUGUUCUGAAGCAAAACAUGUCAUUCAAAGUUAAAUUAACCACCUUCUCAAUUGUGUAGUGUAGAGAUUUCAAUUAUGUGUUACUAAGGCUGAAUUUCUGCAUGACACAGCUCUCUGCAUUAGUCUAAACUGUCCUUUCCUUUUAAACAAUUAGCUGUCACUUUAUUAUUGCUUAUAGGAUUAUUUUAGGAGGUCUUAGUUAAAAACACAUCUUCUGUUAUAACAACAGGGGAAGUUGUAAGGCUCACAGCAGGUGUGGAUGUCAUUUCAUUUUGAAUAUCCCAAAGCUAGAGUUGCUGGUGAAGUUAAAUGUGGCUUUCCUUUUCCUUUAGUGCAAGAGCUUAAUACAAUGAAUAUGUGUUCCAAAAUAAAAACUAAAGUCAGGAAAGAAAGCUCAAACCAUGUGCAGUUCCCACACUCUUACUUUCAAGAACAAAGCAGCAGCUUUUUACUCAAAGUUACUGACACUAAGGAUAUCCAGCACUAUUAGGCACUGCUUUUUCAACUUCUGACCCGGCAGAGCACUAAAAGCAGUUAGGUUCUGAAUGGCCGGGGUAUACACGUGCUGGCCUCUGCAGUAGGUAGAAAUUUACUUUGGCCAUAUAAAGCCGUUUCACUCGACUCAAAACAGUUGUAGCAUGACAGAUGAUCAAAAAUAGCUCCAGCGCAGCUUACGCUGUCAAUCACCAUGUGUGAAAUGGCAUGGUGGUGAGGAGCCUGCCCAGGGUUUAUGUUUGUUGUAGGGUAAGAUGUGGCAAAUGGGUAAUGUUUCAUAACUUUACCACCUGUUAGUUUCUUGGCUUAAUAAAACAAGUCACAAGAGUUUAAGUGGGAGCACAUGUAUCUUUCUGUCUUGUUCAAGGAUCUGAUCGAGUGUCCUAAUGUCCUAAGAAAAUUCUAGUAACAUCAGUUUAAGACAACACAAGCAAUUAGAUAAGACUUUUUGCUGUGCCAUUUCUGUUAGAAUUAUUCUAUUUCAUAAAUGCCGUAUGUGAAAAUUACUGUGAUGUUGAAUGGACUCUUGCAUGAUGCAGAAGAGGCUCUCAGUGACUUUAAAGCUGCUUUUACUCCUCUUUACUUAAUACUUAAAAAAACCCCAUGAUGUUAUAUUUAUUGAGAUUGUUCUUGGCUGGUGACCAAUACAAAAUGCAUGUUCUCGCUCAUCCAUCUUGUAUGGGGAGCUCAGGUAAUGAUGUGUAUUUAAAUGCACAGAGCCAGCUUAAAUAUGCUUCAAAUGCAGUUCUGGCUAGUCACGUCAUAAAUUAGGUGAGUUUUAAAAACGCAACUUAUUGUUAAAUCUUAUGUUUUCUUUCCCUUCCCACCCCUAUUUGUCAUUCUUUUUUUUUUUUUUUUUUUUUUUUUUCCCAUUCCUCCCUUCAUCCAGUAGCAAGUGAAUUCCAUUGACACGUUGGUUUUUUUAUGAUUGUGGUGCUCCUGUUUCACGCCACUGGGCUCUUCUUUUUCUUAAAGAAGAAAACCAGGCUGUUCCAAAGUCUGGUUUUCAUGUAUGUCAUACUGUUUCUUUGCUAUGAAUCUAGGUGACAGUGUCCCUUCUGACUGAAAUGCUUCCUUGUUGAUCAUUUAAGUAAAUCUUGAUGUCAUUUUAAAAAUUAAAGAACCAAAAAAGCUUUCCAUUAGAACUUGCAGUUGGAGGGCAGAUUGUACUACUGCAGGUUGCAUCUAUGCUACAGUGCACUAAAAGGCUGGUGCAGUCUUCAGAGUUGUCUGUAAAAGUAAAUUGCAUUAUUAAAUAGUAGUAAAUUUGCACGAGCAGUUUUACAUGCAUUUAUAAAGAUUCUCUGUCUGGAAAUGAGUUCCAAACGUGAAGGACUUCUCAGUGGAAAUCCAGACGCAAGACAGAGUUAUGGAUUUUAAGUGAAAAUUAUAUCAGAUGCAUCCUUUAAAAAAACUGCAUUGUGUGAGCAAACAUAACUUUAAGAUGAAUUUGUGUAUACGCUUCUUUUGUGGAGAAGACGGGAAAGUGUGUGUACUGAUUUGUUCAGAAUGGUUACUGCUUAAGCCAUAAAUCUGUUUGCUUUUUUUAAUUUAUUUUUUAUUUUUGCUUUAUUUUAUUUAUUUAU
Molecule: RNA transcript, 5083 nt
Organism: Coturnix japonica (Japanese quail)
Lineage: Eukaryota; Metazoa; Chordata; Aves; Galliformes; Phasianidae
Gene: RBM24
Gene name: RNA binding motif protein 24
Source: RefSeq, a predicted model, not a curated record